AAGCCAUUAGCCAAACAAGUAUUAAAGGUAAUGCCUGCCCAGUGAGAAUUACUUAAACGGCCGCGAUAACCCGUGCGAAGGUAGCGCAAUCACUUGUCUUCUAAAUAAAGACCUGUAUGAAUGGCCACAUGAGAAAGAGACUGUCUCUUGAAGAUAGCCAAUGAAACUGAUCUGCCUGUACAAAAGCAGGCAUGACAAAACAAGACAAAAAGACCCUGUGAAACUUAAAAUUACAUGUCAAACACAUGACAUUACUUUUUAGUUGGGGCAACUACAGAGAAACAAAACCUCUAUAAUUACACAAGACCAACAAGUCAAAUUGACUAAGUACAACGACCCAGUACUACUGAUCAAUGAACCAAGCUACUCCAGGGAUAACAGCGCUAAAUUCUUGAAGAGUCCACAUCAACAAGAAUAUUUACGACCUCGAUGUUGGAUCAGGAUACCCAAACAGUGCAGAAGCUGUUAAAGGUUCGUUUGUUCAACGACUAACAUCCUACGC
This 502-nucleotide ribosomal RNA is filed under the name Trapelus sanguinolentus. RNAcentral describes it as "partial 16S ribosomal RNA". It matches the Rfam family "Bacterial large subunit ribosomal RNA", at positions 1816 to 2601 of the family's 2925-position model. Lineage: Eukaryota; Metazoa; Chordata; Lepidosauria; Squamata; Agamidae. The record is from RNAcentral.